CCUACGGGUGGCAGCAGUGAGGAAUAUUGGUCAAUGGGCGGAAGCCUGAACCAGCCAAGUCGCGUGAGGGAAGAAGGUACUGAGUAUUGUAAACCUCUUUUGCCAGGGGGCAAAGGCGGCGACGUGUUCCCGUGAGAGUGUACGUUGAGAAAAAGCAUCGGCUAACACCGUUCCAUCGGCCGCGGUAAUACGGGGGAGGGGAGCGUUGUCCGGAUUUGUUGGGUUACAGGGGUGCGCAGGCGGCGUGUCAAGUCAGCGGUAAAAUGUCGGGGCUAAACCCCGGCCGGCCGUUGAAACUGGCGGGCUUGAGUUGGAGAGAAGUAUGCGGAAUUCGUGGUGUAGCGGUGAAAUGCAUAGAUAUCACGAAGAACACCGAUUGCGAAGGCAGCAUACCGGCUCCACACUGACGCUGAGGCACGAAAGCGUGGGUAUCGAACAGGAUUAGAUACCCCUGUAGUC
RNAcentral lists this ribosomal RNA (459 nucleotides) under uncultured bacterium. RNAcentral's name for it is "partial 16S ribosomal RNA". It matches the Rfam family "Bacterial small subunit ribosomal RNA", at positions 338 to 795 of the family's 1533-position model. The record is from RNAcentral.